Molecule: ribosomal RNA, 473 nt
Filed under: uncultured bacterium
Lineage: Bacteria
Description: bacterial SSU rRNA
Rfam family: Bacterial small subunit ribosomal RNA
Source: RNAcentral
UGGGGAAUAUUGCGCAAUGGGCGAAAGCCUGACGCAGCAACGCCGCGUGAGUGAUGAAGGCCUUCGGGUCGUAAAGCUCUGUCGGAGGGAACGAAUGCUCCUGAAGUUAACAGCCUCAGGAGGUGACGGUACCCUCAAAGGAAGCACCGGCUAACUCUGUGCCAGCAGCCGCGGUAAUACGUAGGGACCAAGCGUUGUUCGGAUUUACUGGGCGUAAAGGGCGCGUAGGCGGCAUGACAAGUCACUUGUGAAAUCUCUGGGCUUAACCCAGAACGGCCAAGUGAUACUGUCGCGCUAGAGUGCAGAAGGGGCAAUCGGAAUUCUUGGUGUAGCGGUGAAAUGCGUAGAUAUCAAGAGGAACACCUGAGGUGAAGACGGGUUGCUGGGCUGACACUGACGCUGAGGCGCGAAAGCCAGGGGAGCAAACGGGAUUAGAUACCCACGUAGUCCCUGAGCGGGCUGGCAAGGCGCAU